Molecule: ribosomal RNA, 443 nt
Filed under: Micrococcus luteus
Lineage: Bacteria; Bacillati; Actinomycetota; Actinomycetes; Micrococcales; Micrococcaceae
Description: bacterial SSU rRNA
Rfam family: Bacterial small subunit ribosomal RNA
Source: RNAcentral
AACGGGUGAGUAACACGUGAGUAACCUGCCCUUAACUCUGGGAUAAGCCUGGGAAACUGGGUCUAAUACCGGAUAGGAGCGCCCACCGCAUGGUGGGUGUUGGAAAGAUUUAUCGGUUUUGGAUGGACUCGCGGCCUAUCAGCUUGUUGGUGAGGUAAUGGCUCACCAAGGCGACGACGGGUAGCCGGCCUGAGAGGGUGACCGGCCACACUGGGACUGAGACACGGCCCAGACUCCUACGGGAGGCAGCAGUGGGGAAUAUUGCACAAUGGGCGCAAGCCUGAUGCAGCGACGCCGCGUGAGGGAUGACGGCCUUCGGGUUGUAAACCUCUUUCAGUAGGGAAGAAGCGAAAGUGACGGUACCUGCAGAAGAAGCACCGGCUAACUACGUGCCAGCAGCCGCGGUAAUACGUAGGGUGCGAGCGUUAUCCGGAAUUAUUGGG